UUACGGGCAUAUCAUAUUGAAACAUUGGUUCCCGUACAAUCACCGAAGUUAACCAAAGUCGAGUCUGUUCAGUACUUAGAUAGGUGAUACCAUGGGAAUACCAGGUGCU
Non-coding RNA from Acanthosepion pharaonis, 109 nucleotides. The record is from the annotation of a GenBank genome assembly. Lineage: Eukaryota; Metazoa; Mollusca; Cephalopoda; Sepiida; Sepiidae.